GGAAGCCAACCUCAAGAUAAGAUAUCCCUUCAGGCACUCAGCUUGCUGAGUGCCUGGCUGAAGACCCCUCGGAGACUACGAGGUUGAUAGGCCGGGUGUGUAAGUGCGGUAACGCAUUUAGCUAACCGGUACUAAUCGGUCGUGAGGCUUGGUCAU
This 156-nucleotide ribosomal RNA is filed under the name Deltaproteobacteria bacterium. Its description in RNAcentral is "partial 23S ribosomal RNA". It matches the Rfam family "Bacterial large subunit ribosomal RNA", at positions 2788 to 2925 of the family's 2925-position model. Lineage: Bacteria; Pseudomonadati; Myxococcota; Myxococcia. The record is from RNAcentral.